GAACAGCUUCAGCGACUGUUUCUCAGCACUGAGGAUAAAGGACUCUGCUUUCCACCAAAAGUCACAAGAUCCCCUAAAUCAGGAAAAUCCUUAGCAGGUUAAGAUGAAAAGGCUCAUUCGAGAAGAAUAGUGCUGGAGCCGCUAUUGGCGUUACCUGUGAAAGAACGCCCAGAGGCACACACUGGGUAGUUUACGGGAGAAGCAGCAGUCCUCUGUGGAAUGGAAGCAAGGAAGCCUCAAAACCGGCUGUCUGUCAUUCAAGUCAAGAGAAACCUCUCCCCAUUUAGCAAACAAUCCCAGGACAUAAACCAAAUGAAAAAUUCUUUUCCUAGUUGACCUGACAACACUCUACGUGAUUGUUUCUGCGUGCACAACCAAAGCAGCAGACUGCUUGCUGGCUAUCGUGAUUUAUUUUAUUCUGUAACCCAAAGCCGCAUGCUGCCUGGUGUAUGAUGGAAGAUAAUAUGACUUCUUUGAAGAUCAGAGGAAAUGGGGGAGGGGAGGACAAACCCUGGUGGCACUAACACAGAGGGCAAAGAAUGGGUCUCUGCGAGGGUUUCCCAAUACCAUAGCCCAGGAAAGCUAUAAGGCGCCUGGAACAGCAUAAGGUGGCCAGAACUGUUGGGAAAUCCUUCUUUGGUGGGAGCUCAGAACUGACAAGCCAUAUAAAGAAGUGUUGCAAAUUAGAAGCUUAUUUCUUGUCAACAUAGCAGGGGUGGUCCUUUCCUUGCCUAACAAUGUGGGGGUGACAGGGCCCUGACAGGGGAAGCAACAGGAAUGCUGGCUUCCAAAGUCGAGGAGAAAAUCAGCUGAAAUAACCUUAUUGGGAUCUUACCUCCAGAUGGCCACAGCCUCCUCCAGGGGACAGGAAGGGGACUGGGGAGGGUGCUAAGGAAUGGAACAUAAUGUGCUAGAAGCUUUGGAGUCAGAUAGACUCAUCUUGAAACUCUUUCUCUCCUGCACUGCCAAUAUGUGUGUCUGGGGCAACUGUCUAGCUUUCUGGCUUCCGGUCUCACCUGGGUGCAGAGGGGAGGACAAUCUGAGCCCCCAGUAUCGUCUACAGAUAAACUUAGGAUCGCCUCUUCUGGCAUUGCUUCAAGGCUUGAGUGGAAAACAAGUAUUGGGAACUGUACAGUCAUACUCACCCCACGCCUUCUUUGCUCACCCGCCAGUCGGUUCUGCUUUGUGUUGAAGGGGAGUUUUACCUUAACAGGAGUUUUUCUACCAUUUCUGCCUUCUGUGUUAGCAAGUAAACAGGAUAUGUGAAAAUUUGCCACUUUGAUGUCAUUGUCUCAUUUUUUAAAAAAAUAAAAUAGAUGAGAAAUUA
Non-coding RNA from Myodes glareolus (Bank vole), 1327 nucleotides. The record is from RefSeq and is a predicted model, not a curated record. NCBI's taxonomy places the organism in Eukaryota, Metazoa, Chordata, Mammalia, Rodentia, Cricetidae.